RNAcentral lists this ribosomal RNA (159 nucleotides) under uncultured bacterium. RNAcentral describes it as "partial 16S ribosomal RNA". It matches the Rfam family "Bacterial small subunit ribosomal RNA", at positions 1334 to 1500 of the family's 1533-position model. The record is from RNAcentral.
GCUAGUAAUCGCGCAUCAGCCACGGCGCGGUGAAUACGUUCCCGGGCCUUGUACACACCGCCCGUCAAGCCAUGGGAGCCGGGGGUACCUGAAGUGCGUAACCGCAAGGAGCGCCCUAGGGUAAAACUGGUGACUGGGGCUAAGUCGUAACAAGGUAUC